CUUUGGAACACACUCUGGGAUGCACGGUCGCCCGUUCCUGUGACGCCAUGCAGCUGCUGGCCAAGCAAGGCACUUUGUGCGGUGACGGACUGCUCCUGGAAGAAAAUGAGGACAAUAGCUUCAAUGCCACAUUAAUAAGCUACAACAAACACAACAGAUUGAUUGCGAGGAGUUGGUGCUCCUUCAUCUCCUCCCUCAGCCAGGAGAUGUCAGCGAGAUUUCUUGUGCCAAUGAUGCACAGUGAGGAGGUGGUGCGGCCUUGUGGCGUGUUUG
Lolium rigidum is the source of this 273-nucleotide long non-coding RNA. RefSeq lists it as uncharacterized. The transcript has 3 exons. Lineage: Eukaryota; Viridiplantae; Streptophyta; Magnoliopsida; Poales; Poaceae. The record is from RefSeq and is a predicted model, not a curated record.